UCGCUGAUAGCUCAGCUGGUAAAGAGUCUGCCUGCGAUGCAGGAGAUCCUGGUUCGAUUCCUGGGUCAGGAA
This 72-nucleotide transfer RNA is filed under the name Bos taurus (domestic cattle). It matches the Rfam family "tRNA". From Rfam's summary of the family: Transfer RNA (tRNA) molecules are approximately 80 nucleotides in length. Their secondary structure includes four short double-helical elements and three loops (D, anti-codon, and T loops). Further hydrogen bonds mediate the characteristic L-shaped molecular structure. tRNAs have two regions of fundamental functional importance: the anti-codon, which is responsible for specific mRNA codon recognition, and the 3' end, to which the tRNAs corresponding amino acid is attached (by aminoacyl-tRNA synthetases). tRNAs cope with the degeneracy of the genetic code in two manners: having more than one tRNA (with a specific anti-codon) for a particular amino acid; and 'wobble' base-pairing, i.e. permitting non-standard base-pairing at the 3rd anti-codon position. RNAcentral also lists the same sequence under 1 other name. Lineage: Eukaryota; Metazoa; Chordata; Mammalia; Artiodactyla; Bovidae. The record is from Rfam by way of RNAcentral.